This 253-nucleotide ribosomal RNA is filed under the name uncultured bacterium. RNAcentral's name for it is "partial 16S ribosomal RNA". It matches the Rfam family "Bacterial small subunit ribosomal RNA", at positions 524 to 776 of the family's 1533-position model. The record is from RNAcentral.
UACGGGGGGGGUAAGCGUUGUUCGGAAUUACUGGGCGUAAAGGGCUCGUAGGCGGCCAACUAAGUCAGACGUGAAAUCCCUCAGCUUAACUGGGGAACUGCGUCUGAUACUGGAUGGCUUGGAUCCGGAAGAGGGAUGCGGAAUUCCAGGUGUAGCGGUGAAAUGCGCAGAUAUCAGGAGGAACACCGGUGGCGAAGGCGGGUCUCUGGGCCGAUACUGACGCUGAGGAGCGAAAGCGUGGGGAGCGAACAGG